CGGACGGGUGAGUAAUGCUUGGGAAUCUAGCUUAUGGAGGGGGAUAACUACGGGAAACUGUAGCUAAUACCGCGUAAUAUCGAAAGGUUAAAGUGUGGGACCUUCGGGCCACAUGCCAUAGGAUGAGCCCAAGUGGGAUUAGGUAGUUGGUGAGGUAAAGGCUCACCAAGCCGACGAUCUCUAGCUGGUCUGAGAGGAUGACCAGCCACACUGGGACUGAGACACGGCCCAG
This 232-nucleotide ribosomal RNA is filed under the name uncultured bacterium. Its description in RNAcentral is "partial 16S ribosomal RNA". It matches the Rfam family "Bacterial small subunit ribosomal RNA", at positions 99 to 334 of the family's 1533-position model. The record is from RNAcentral.